CCCCGCAAGGGGUCAGUUCCUGGCAAACGGGUGAGUAACACGUGGGUGAUCUGCCUCAGAGUGGGGGAUAACUACCCCAAAGGGUCGCUAAUACCGCAUAACAUCCUGCCUUUGGAUAGGCGGAGAUCAAAGCCGGGGAUCGCAAGACCUGGCGCUUGGAGAGGAGCCCGCGGCCGAUUAGCUAGUUGGUAGGGUAACGGCCUACCAAGGCGACGAUCGGUAUCCGGCCUGAGAGGGCGGACGGACACACUGGGACUGAGACACGGCCCAGACUCCUACGGGAGGCAGCAGUGGGGAAUUGUUCGCAAUGGGCGCAAGCCUGACGACGCAACGCCGCGUGGAGGACGAAGAUCUUCGGGUCGUAAACUCCUUUCGAUCGGGAAGAACGUCUGCGGGGUGAAUAAUCCCGCAGAGUGACGGUACCGAGAGAAGAAGCCCCGGCUAACUCUGUGCCAGCAGCCGCGGUAAUACAGGGGGGGCAAGCGUUGUUCGGAAUUACUGGGCGUAAAGGGCUCGUAGGCGGCCAACUAAGUCACACGUGAAAUCCCCAGGCUUAACCUGGGAACUGCGUGUGAUACUGGAUGGCUUGAAUUCCGGAGAGGG
Molecule: ribosomal RNA, 603 nt
Filed under: uncultured bacterium
Lineage: Bacteria
Description: bacterial SSU rRNA
Rfam family: Bacterial small subunit ribosomal RNA
Source: RNAcentral